This is a long non-coding RNA of Vidua macroura (Pin-tailed whydah), 305 nucleotides long. RefSeq lists it as uncharacterized. Lineage: Eukaryota; Metazoa; Chordata; Aves; Passeriformes; Viduidae. The transcript has 3 exons. The record is from RefSeq and is a predicted model, not a curated record.
GAGCAGAAAGUUCCUCCGCAACAAGAUGCAAAAGUACGCUGGAAAGUGCCUCAAUCCCCACAGAAUUCCUCAGGCUGAAACGGUACCGGUGGAUCGUGCCUGCCCGCGGUGAGGUGGAACUGAAGGUCCACUUCUCCACCAUAAAGCCAGGGAAGUUUGAGCAGACGCUGAGGUUUGAGCUCGUGCAGACAAAGCGCCAGUACGAGCUGCCCUGCAGUGGCACCAGCCUGUACCCCAGCAUCAGCCAGAACCCACGGGUGGUGUUUCCACAGUGGAGGAAAACCAUGGAGAAAGAUGAAGUUGUC